This 202-nucleotide long non-coding RNA is filed under the name Elaeis guineensis (African oil palm). RNAcentral's name for it is "long non-coding RNA (EGUI_LNC004818)". Lineage: Eukaryota; Viridiplantae; Streptophyta; Magnoliopsida; Arecales; Arecaceae. The record is from RNAcentral.
CUACGGGGCGCAACCACAGUACCAAAAUGCGCGCCAAAAGUGGCACCAACUAAUUGGUGCGGUGAAGUUUUGGUAGAGAAAACAACACACGUAUGGUGAGAACCCGUUGUGGCAAAUUGUUGGGCCACACCAGUUGAGUCCCUCUCCCCACCGAGACUUUGUUGUGCCUCUCGUGUUCCACCCGUUGGAUCUAAAUGCGAGC